UAGUCAUAUUUGACUACAAAUCCGCUAACCAAGCUUCUUGAUUGUCAAACCUUUUAUGGUGAAGCCGAAUUUCUUAUGAGUUUUUUGU
Molecule: small RNA, 88 nt
Filed under: Arabidopsis thaliana (thale cress)
Lineage: Eukaryota; Viridiplantae; Streptophyta; Magnoliopsida; Brassicales; Brassicaceae
Description: ATSL040130
Source: RNAcentral